GAUGCAGCGACGCCGCGUGAGGGAUGACGGCCUUCGGGUUGUAAACCUCUUUCACCUCCGACGAAGCGUGAGUGACGGUAGGAGGAGAAGAAGCACCGGCCAACUACGUGCCAGCAGCCGCGGUAAUACGUAGGGUGCGAGCGUUGUCCGGAAUUACUGGGCGUAAAGAGCUCGUAGGUGGUUUGUCGCGUUGUUCGUGAAAACUCACAGCUUAACUGUGGGCGUGCGGGCGAUACGGGCAGACUGGAGUACUGCAGGGGAGACUGGAAUUCCUGGUGUAGCGGUGGAAUGCGCAGAUAUCAGGAGGAACACCGGUGGCGAAGGCGGGUCUCUGGGCAGUAACUGACGCUGAGGAGCGAAAGCGUGGGGAGCGAACAGGAUUAGAUACCCUGGUAGUCCACGCCGUAAACGGUGGGUACUAGGUGUGGGUUUCCUUCCUUGGGAUCCGUGCCGUAGCUAACGCAUUAAGUACCCCGCCUGGGGAGUACGGCCGCAAGGCUAAAACUCAAAGAAAUUGACGGGGGCCCGCACAAGCGGCGGAGCAUGUGGAUUAAUUCGAUGCAACGCGAAGAACCUUACCUGGGUUUGACAUGCACAGGACGCCGGCAGAGAUGUCGGUUCCCUUGUGGCCUGUGUGCAGGUGGUGCAUGGCUGUCGUCAGCUCGUGUCGUGAGAUGUUGGGUUAAGUCCCGCAACGAGCGCAACCCUUGUCUCAUGUUGCCAGCACGUUAUGGUGGGGACUCGUGA
RNAcentral lists this ribosomal RNA (747 nucleotides) under actinobacterium TP647. RNAcentral describes it as "bacterial SSU rRNA". It matches the Rfam family "Bacterial small subunit ribosomal RNA", at positions 385 to 1144 of the family's 1533-position model. Lineage: Bacteria; Bacillati; Actinomycetota; Actinomycetes. The record is from RNAcentral.